AACGAACGCUGGCGGCAUGCCUAACACAUGCAAGUCGAACGAGAACUUCGGGUCUAGUGGCGCACGGGUGCGUAACGCGUGGGAACCUGCCCUUAGGUUCGGAAUAACUCCCCGAAAGGGGUUCUAAUACCGGAUAAUGACUUCGGACCACAGAUUUAUCGCCUUUGGAUGGGCCCGCGUUGGAUUCGCUAGUUGGUAGGGUAAAAGCCUACCAAGGCGACGAUCCAUAGCUGGUCUGAGAGGAAGAUCAGCCACACUGGGACUGAGACACGGCCCAGACUCCUACGGGAGGCAGCAGUGGGGAAUAUUGGACAAUGGGCGAAAGCCUGAUGCAGCAAUGCCGCGUGAGUGAUGAAGGCCUUAGGGUUGUAAAGCUCUUUUACCCGGGAGGAUAAUGACAGUACCGGGAGAAUAAGCUCCGGCUAACUCCGUG
Molecule: ribosomal RNA, 433 nt
Filed under: uncultured bacterium
Lineage: Bacteria
Description: partial 16S ribosomal RNA
Rfam family: Bacterial small subunit ribosomal RNA
Source: RNAcentral